RNAcentral lists this ribosomal RNA (253 nucleotides) under uncultured bacterium. RNAcentral describes it as "partial 16S ribosomal RNA". It matches the Rfam family "Bacterial small subunit ribosomal RNA", at positions 524 to 776 of the family's 1533-position model. The record is from RNAcentral.
UACGUAGGGUGCAAGCGUUGUCCGGAAUUAUUGGGCGUAAAGAGCUCGUAGGCGGUCUGUCGCGUCUGCUGUGAAAUCUGGGGGCUCAACCCCCAGCCUGCAGUGGGUACGGGCAGACUAGAGUGCGGUAGGGGAGAUUGGAACUCCUGGUGUAGCGGUGGAAUGCGCAGAUAUCAGGAGGAACACCGGUGGCGAAGGCGGGUCUCUGGGCAGUAACUGACGCUGAGGAGCGAAAGCGUGGGGAGCGAACAGG